This is a long non-coding RNA of Struthio camelus australis, 454 nucleotides long. RefSeq lists it as uncharacterized. The record is from RefSeq and is a predicted model, not a curated record. Lineage: Eukaryota; Metazoa; Chordata; Aves; Struthioniformes; Struthionidae.
AGGGUUACAGGGCGGUGCUGUAAAACGGUCUUCCCCGUGUUUGGCAUGAGACAAACACGGAGAAAGGGCUCGGUUCAGCUGCGCUGCCCGGAGCGCCCACAGAGCUCACCACCAGCCUGCAUACACCGAUGCAAGCCCCCUUUGUUUUCACAACCGUUGUUGUAAUGACAGAAGACCCCCAAAGAGAUUUCAACAAAUCCAGCAUCAUUUUAAAAGUCUUUUCUCCAGAUGACUCCAAAACCAUCACCACUGCCUGAAACGAAUUAUGCAAGCCUUUUAACUAAAAAGAUGACAGUGGUUCAAGCACAUCUUGUCAGGUGAAAAGAAUACAAGUAAGAACAAUCUUCUGGAUGCAGCAAAGGAAGAUCUUUCUCUCAUAUACUCAAAGCUUUUACAAAUGUACUAGAUGGAACAAUUCCACCAUGCAAAGGAAGCUGGGUAACAACAACAACAA